UACGAAGGGGGCUAGCGUUGUUCGGAAUCACUGGGCGUAAAGGGCGCGUAGGCGGCUUUGUAAGUCGGGGGUGAAAGCCUGUGGCUCAACCACAGAAUUGCCUUCGAUACUGCCUGGCUUGAGACCGGAAGAGGUAAGUGGAACUGCGAGUGUAGAGGUGAAAUUCGUAGAUAUUCGCAAGAACACCAGUGGCGAAGGCGACUUACUGGACACAUAUUGACGCUGAGGUGCGAAAGCGUGGGGAGCAAACAGG
Molecule: ribosomal RNA, 253 nt
Filed under: uncultured bacterium
Lineage: Bacteria
Description: partial 16S ribosomal RNA
Rfam family: Bacterial small subunit ribosomal RNA
Source: RNAcentral